RNAcentral lists this ribosomal RNA (468 nucleotides) under uncultured bacterium. Its description in RNAcentral is "partial 16S ribosomal RNA". It matches the Rfam family "Bacterial small subunit ribosomal RNA", at positions 28 to 507 of the family's 1533-position model. The record is from RNAcentral.
GACGAACGCUGGCGGCGUGCUUAACACAUGCAAGUCGAACGGAAAGGCCCGGCUUUUGUGGGGUGCCCGAGUGGCGACCGGGUGAGUAACACUUGAGUACCCUGCCCUUGCCUUUGGGUUAACUUCAGAAAACUGGGGCUAUUACCGGAUAGGAGCUCCUGCUGCUGGGUGGGGGUUGGAAAGUUUCGGCGGUUGGGGAUGGACUCGCGGCUUAUCGGCUUGUUGGUGGGGUAGUGGCUUACCAAGGCUUUGACGGGUAGCCGGCCUGAGAGGGUGACCGGCCACAUUGGGACUGAGAUACGGCCCAGACUCCUACGGGAGGCAGCAGUGGGGAAUAUUGCACAAUGGGCGGAAGCCUGAUGCAGCAACGCCGCGUGCGGGAUGACGGCCUUCGGGUUGUAAACCGCUUUCGCCUGUGACGAAGCGUGAGUGACGGUAAUGGGUAAAGAAGCACCGGCUAACUACGUG